This 556-nucleotide ribosomal RNA is filed under the name Bifidobacterium dentium. RNAcentral describes it as "bacterial SSU rRNA". It matches the Rfam family "Bacterial small subunit ribosomal RNA", at positions 146 to 711 of the family's 1533-position model. The record is from RNAcentral. Lineage: Bacteria; Bacillati; Actinomycetota; Actinomycetes; Bifidobacteriales; Bifidobacteriaceae.
UCUCCUGGAAAACGGGUGGUAAUGCCGGAUGCUCCGGUUGGAUGCAUGUCCUUCCGGGAAAGGUUCCAUCGGUAUGGGAUGGGGUCGCGUCCUAUCAGCUUGAUGGCGGGGUAACGGCCCACCAUGGCUUCGACGGGUAGCCGGCCUGAGAGGGCGACCGGCCACAUUGGGACUGAGAUACGGCCCAGACUCCUACGGGAGGCAGCAGUGGGGAAUAUUGCACAAUGGGCGCAAGCCUGAUGCAGCGACGCCGCGUGCGGGAUGGAGGCCUUCGGGUUGUAAACCGCUUUUGAUCGGGAGCAAGCCCUUCGGGGUGAGUGUACCUUUCGAAUAAGCACCGGCUAACUACGUGCCAGCAGCCGCGGUAAUACGUAGGGUGCAAGCGUUAUCCGGAAUUAUUGGGCGUAAAGGGCUCGUAGGCGGUUCGUCGCGUCCGGUGUGAAAGCCCAUCGCUUAACGGUGGGUCUGCGCCGGGUACGGGCGGGCUGGAGUGCGGUAGGGGAGACUGGAAUUCCCGGUGUAACGGUGGAAUGUGUAGAUAUCGGGAAGAACACCA